AGUGAACGCUGGCGGUAGGCCUAACACAUGCAAGUCGAACGGCAGCACAGUAAGAGCUUGCUCUUACGGGUGGCGAGUGGCGGACGGGUGAGGAAUACAUCGGAAUCUACUUUUUCGUGGGGGAUAACGUAGGGAAACUUACGCUAAUACCGCAUACGACCUCCGGGUGAAAGCAGGGGAUCUUCGGACCUUGCGCGAUUGAAUUAGCCGAUGUCGGAUUAGCUAGUUGGCGGGGUAAAGGCCCACCAAGGCGACGAUCCGUAGCUGGUCUGAGAGGAUGAUCAGCCACACUGGAACUGAGACACGGUCCAGACUCCUACGGGAGGCAGCAGUGGGGAAUAUUGGACAAUGGGCGCAAGCCUGAUCCAGCCAUACCGCGUGGGUGAAGAAGGCCUUCGGGUUGUAAAGCCCUUUUGUUGGGAAAGAAAAGCAGCAGGUUAAUACCCCGCUGUUCUGACGGUACCCAAAGAAUAAGCACCGGCUAACUUCGUG
RNAcentral lists this ribosomal RNA (492 nucleotides) under uncultured bacterium. RNAcentral's name for it is "partial 16S ribosomal RNA". It matches the Rfam family "Bacterial small subunit ribosomal RNA", at positions 29 to 507 of the family's 1533-position model. The record is from RNAcentral.